UCCCUAAGAUGUCUUUCUCCACCCAUUCC
This 29-nucleotide non-coding RNA is filed under the name Mus musculus (house mouse). Lineage: Eukaryota; Metazoa; Chordata; Mammalia; Rodentia; Muridae. The record is from RNAcentral.